GACCGUGACGGUACGUGAGUGGUGAGAUAACCCAGUGCGCUGGCGGGCCCCCUGCUUAAGUGCGGCCGACCGCGAGUGCGAUGGGAUACGCUUCGUUCAUGAAAUCCCAAAAUCAUUGGGGCUCCGCACGAUGCGGAGGGCAUAUUCGGUGGGUUGUAUCAACAUAGUCAGCACGCGGCAACUUGGUGACCCUACGUUAGUAACAUCAUGUCCUCCUCUCUCUCUCUCAUCCGCUCCUCUCGGACGGGCGGGAAGCGGGAAGCGGCCUCUUACGACAACGUCCCGUGCGUCCUCGGCAGCGCUUGCAGUCGCACGUGUGCGUUGCCUGCUUUGUCCGUCCGGACCUCGGGACAGUUGAGUGCUUACGGAUGCGGUGAAUCGGAUGGGGGGUCGGGUGGGCGCACGCUGCUGCCAACCCGAUGAAUGGAACGUGUUUGCGCACGCCGCGAGCGGGCAAACGAACGGAACGGAACGGAACGGAACGGAACGACCGCCGGCGGGCGGGCGUGCGUCGUCGUCGUCUCGUCUCCGCAAAGGGAGAGAUGAUGGGCCGCGCCGUCUGCGGGCGUCGUCUCGAAGGGCUCGCUACCUGGUUGAUC
Molecule: unclassified non-coding RNA, 599 nt
Filed under: Philodendron grandipes
Lineage: Eukaryota; Viridiplantae; Streptophyta; Magnoliopsida; Alismatales; Araceae
Description: partial external transcribed spacer
Source: RNAcentral